RNAcentral lists this ribosomal RNA (459 nucleotides) under uncultured bacterium. Its description in RNAcentral is "partial 16S ribosomal RNA". It matches the Rfam family "Bacterial small subunit ribosomal RNA", at positions 338 to 795 of the family's 1533-position model. The record is from RNAcentral.
CCUACGGGAGGCAGCAGUGAGGAAUAUUGGUCAAUGGACGCGAGUCUGAACCAGCCAAGUAGCGUGAAGGAUGACUGCCCUAUGGUUUUUAAACUUCUUUUAUGUGGGAAUAAAACGUUCCACGUGUGGUGUUUUGUAUGUACCAUAUGAAUAAGGGUCGGCUAACUCCGUGCCAGCAGCCGCGGUAAUACGGAGGAUCCGAGCGUUGUCCUGAUUUAUUGGGUUUAAGGGGUGCGUAGCCGGAAUGCCAAUUCAGCGGUAAAAUCGCGGGGCUAAACCUCGCUCCGCCGUUGAAACUGGCGUGCUUGAGUGGGCGAGACGUAUGCGGAAUGCGUGGUGUAGCGGUGAAAUGCAUAGAUAUCACGCAGAACUACGAUUGCGAAGGCAGCAUACCGGCGCCCAACUGACGCUGAAGCACGAAAGCGUGGGUAUCGAACAGGAUUAGAUACCCCAGUAGUC